ACUUAUCUUAUGCUUACUCCCAGGACAUGGAUUCUAGCCAAAUGCAUUCAUGGUUUUUCUCCCAGUGCAUUUGCAACCGCCUUUGUCCGCCUUCAGCCCUCAUUUCGCAUUCAAUAAGCGAACGCAUCCAUCCAUCGAACGAAAGCCAAGACAACCGAGGCAAUUUCAAUACAAGCGAACAAAAUCAACGGCAACAAGAAAUGGUUGGGCUUAAUUGUGUCGCAGUGCAGCGAAUGAAUGACUGAAUGACGGAGCGAUUGAGUGUCCGACUGCAGAGAGAACUCGAACUUGCGGGCUUUCAAUUAGCGAAAGUCCGAUAUGCAUAUGAAGCUGGUUCUGCCCAAAUCGAAGUGGGAGAAAUGGGGAAAAAAAACGUCAGACAAACGGAAAGAAAGAAAGAGCUGUCAACGGCGGCAAUGGGAUCGUUAAAACGACAUUUAAUAAGCUGUUUAUGCCUAUUUUUACUUUCAGGUUAGCGGCUUCUACUUCUUCUCCAGGGCCAAUAACCAAAUGACGAGGCCUAUGCAAAGUUGGCCAUGAGACAAGUGGUACACCGAAAAAAAGUUAAUGUUAUUAUUAUAAUCGCAGAUUUUUUGAUAACUGAUUUAAGUUUCUUUAAGAAAGAAAUAAGAACGAGAGUUUUGUAAUGUAUCAAUUGAUGUUUU
Non-coding RNA from Drosophila melanogaster (fruit fly), 665 nucleotides. The record is from Ensembl. Lineage: Eukaryota; Metazoa; Arthropoda; Insecta; Diptera; Drosophilidae.